This 29-nucleotide non-coding RNA is filed under the name Rattus norvegicus (Norway rat). Lineage: Eukaryota; Metazoa; Chordata; Mammalia; Rodentia; Muridae. The record is from RNAcentral.
UCCAUUUUUCUUGUGCGCUUACAAAUUUG